UACGGAGGAUGCAAGCGUUAUCCGGAUUCAUUGGGUUUAAAGGGUGCGUAGGCGGCUUUUUAAGUCAGUGGUGAAAUCUUGCCGCUUAACGGUAAAAUUGCCAUUGAUACUGAUAAGCUUGAGUACAAUUGAGGUAAGCGGAAUGUGUAGUGUAGCGGUGAAAUGCUUAGAUAUUACACAGAACACCGAUUGCGAAGGCAGCUUACUAAACUGUUACUGACGCUGAUGCACGAAAGCGUGGGGAGCGAACAGG
RNAcentral lists this ribosomal RNA (253 nucleotides) under uncultured bacterium. RNAcentral's name for it is "partial 16S ribosomal RNA". It matches the Rfam family "Bacterial small subunit ribosomal RNA", at positions 524 to 776 of the family's 1533-position model. The record is from RNAcentral. RNAcentral also lists the same sequence under 1 other name.